CAAUAAAUACUGAUACAGGGCUCUUUUGGGUCUUGUAAUUGGAAUGAGUACAAUUUAAACCUCUUAACGAGGAACAAUUGGAGGGCAAGUCUGGUGCCAGCAGCCGCGGUAAUUCCAGCUCCAAUAGCGUAUAUUAAAGUUGUUGCAGUUAAAAAGCUCGUAGUUGAAACUUGGGUCUGGCUGGCGGGUCCGCCUCACCGCGUGCACUCGUCCGGCCGGGCCUUCCUUCUGAAGAACCUCAUGCCCUUUACUGGGCGUGUUGGGGAAUCAGGACUUUUACUUUGAAAAAAUUAGAGUGUUCAAAGCAGGCCUUUGCUCGAAUACGUUAGCAUGGAAUAAUAAAAUAGGGCGUGCGUUUCUAUUUUGUUGGUUUCUAGAGACGCCGCAAUGAUUAACAGGAACAGUCGGGGGCAUCAGUAUUCAGUUGUCAGAGGUGAAAUUCUUGGAUUUACUGAAGACUAACUACUGCGAAAGCAUUUGCCAAGGAUGUUUUCAUUAAUCAGUGAACGAAAGUUAGGGGAUCGAAGACGAUCAGAUACCGUCGUAGUCUUAACCGUAAACUAUGCCGACUAGGGAUCGGGCGAUGUUCUUUUUCUGACUCGCUCGGCACCUUACGAGAAAUC
RNAcentral lists this ribosomal RNA (623 nucleotides) under Pyrenophora trichostoma. RNAcentral describes it as "SSU rRNA". It matches the Rfam family "Eukaryotic small subunit ribosomal RNA", at positions 471 to 1099 of the family's 1831-position model. The record is from RNAcentral. Lineage: Eukaryota; Fungi; Ascomycota; Dothideomycetes; Pleosporales; Pleosporaceae.